CUUUCAAUGAAUUCACAGAAGGAGCCAUAAAGACUGUUCAUGAGUCAGAAACAUGCAAAAAAAAGCUCCAAUAACAAGCAUAGAUCAUCAGCAAAAUCACUUUUUCCCCUCAAUAUUUCCAAGCAAAGAUUACAUCAACCUGUUAUACAAUAUAAUUUGAGUGUAUGAUCGAGCCUGAAGAAAAAUUGUCAAAAUAGAAUUGGUAUCACUCACUACGCAUGCUAAUUUAAAAUAGUUUCCGCGAAGCAAAUUUCUUGAUUGCACAGAUCCCCAGAUACACACCGUUCAUAUCGCAAGUUUGGCAGGAAAAAUGAUAGGCAGAGUGGAGGAAUAAAUGCAAUGUGGAAAAGCGUUGUAUCAGAAAUCCGGGCCUUCAGAUUUCCUGCUUUAGAUUCACAUUGAUGAUCCCUAUAUGGGAUUUAGGUUGAAAAUAUUCAUCUGUAUCCACCUCUUCAAUUUCCUGAACAACAUCUUCUCCUUUAACGACCCGUCCAAAAACUAUAAGUUUUUCAGUAAGAUCAGGGAUGGGUGCAGUUGUAAUGAAAAGCUCAAAUCCUUUGUCAUCGUGUUUUCUCUUAGAAGUCCCGAGCAUGAAUGCCUCAUGUUUCAAACUUGUAUCAAGUUGACUGUAACGCUUCCCCUUCAAAGUCCAGUCUUCCGCAGCCCCAAGGCUAUCAGCAUCCCCUGCUUGAAUCACAUAAUGCUUUAUCACAUGACGGAAACGCAUCCCCUUGAAGUGCCCUUUUUCACAUAAGUCAAUGAACUUGUCAACAACUUCGGAAGAACCAUCCUUGAAAAGUUCUACUGUUAUGGUGCCUUUCGAUGUAUUUAAAAUUGCAUAUCCUGGGAGAUCAGAUUUCUUUGGAUCCGGAAAAGCCUGUUCAACCUCAAAGCCUAAUGAUUUACGACUCUGAGUCUGGAUUCUUGACCUAAGGGACCAGUGUCUGUAUGAAGAAUACAAGAAAAAGAUACUCAAGAGAAAAAUCAAGCCGCAGAGAAGAAUAGUAACAGCACUUAUUCGACUCGGGCCCUUCUUCUUCUUGCUCUGUUGCAAGAGAGCUUGAGGCUUGAUCCUUGCCAUCUACAAUAAUCUCAAUCUUCUGUAUACACAAAACCACCACCUGUGUGAUUCC
RNAcentral lists this unclassified non-coding RNA (1133 nucleotides) under Hevea brasiliensis (rubber tree). Lineage: Eukaryota; Viridiplantae; Streptophyta; Magnoliopsida; Malpighiales; Euphorbiaceae. The record is from RNAcentral.